GAGGCAUAUGGUUUGGAUUUGUAAGCUUUUUCUCUCAACUUCUUUUUACAUAACAUAGUUAAAAAGAUUAACAAGACUAAAAAAUUCCAAGUUACUCUUGCAAGUGGUCUUGCUAAGGUAUCACAUGGUAUCUCUAAUUCACA
Molecule: long non-coding RNA, 143 nt
Organism: Oxyura jamaicensis (ruddy duck)
Lineage: Eukaryota; Metazoa; Chordata; Aves; Anseriformes; Anatidae
Exons: 3
Source: RefSeq, a predicted model, not a curated record